ACUCCUACGGGAGGCAGCAGUGAGGAAUAUUGGUCAAUGGACGGAAGUCUGAACCAGCCAUGCCGCGUGCAGGAAGACGGCCCUACGGGUUGUAAACUGCUUUUAUACGGGGAUAAACCUAUCUUUGCGAAGAUAGCUGGAGGUACCGUAUGAAUAAGCAUCGGCUAACUCCGUGCCAGCAGCCGCGGUAAUACGGAGGAUGCGAGCGUUAUCCGGAUUUAUUGGGUUUAAAGGGUGCGUAGGCGGACAAAUAAGUCAGUGGUGAAAUCACUCAGCUUAACUGAGUAACUGCCAUUGAUACUGUUAGUCUAGAAUGUAAAUGGAGUAGGCGGAAUGAAUCAUGUAGAGGUGACAUUCAUAGAUAUGAUUCAGAACACCGAUCGCGAAGGCAGCUUGCUAAGAUACAAUUGACGCUGAUGCACGAAAGCGUGGGUAGCAAACAGGAUUAGAUACCCUGGUAGUC
Molecule: ribosomal RNA, 463 nt
Filed under: uncultured bacterium
Lineage: Bacteria
Description: bacterial SSU rRNA
Rfam family: Bacterial small subunit ribosomal RNA
Source: RNAcentral